This 117-nucleotide non-coding RNA is filed under the name Gorilla gorilla gorilla (western lowland gorilla). RNAcentral also lists the same sequence under 1 other name. The record is from Rfam by way of RNAcentral. Lineage: Eukaryota; Metazoa; Chordata; Mammalia; Primates; Hominidae.
GCCGGGCGCGGUGGCUCACGCCUGUAAUCCUAGCACUUUGGGAGGCUGAGGUGGGUGGAUCACUUGAGGUCAGGAAUUCGUGACCAGCCUGGCCAACAUGGUGAAACCCCAUCUCUA